RNAcentral lists this RNase P RNA (349 nucleotides) under human gut metagenome. RNAcentral's name for it is "Bacterial RNase P class A". It matches the Rfam family "Bacterial RNase P class A". From Rfam's summary of the family: Ribonuclease P (RNase P) is a ubiquitous endoribonuclease, found in archaea, bacteria and eukarya as well as chloroplasts and mitochondria. Its best characterised activity is the generation of mature 5'-ends of tRNAs by cleaving the 5'-leader elements of precursor-tRNAs. The record is from RNAcentral.
AGUAAAUCGGGCAGUUGCGGGCAUACGGUUUUUCGUAUGAAUGAGGAAAGUCCGAGCUCCAUAGGGCAGGGUGCCGGAGAAAUCCCGGUGGAGGCGACUCUAAGGAAAGUGCAACAGAAAUAAACCGCCUGAAGCUUCAGGUAAGGAUGGAAAGGCGAGGUAAGAGCUCACCGGCGCUUGGGUAAUCAAGCGGCCAUGUAAACCCCACUCGGUGCAACGCUGAUGCGAAAGUGUGAGUAUUCACACGCGCUUGCCCGGCGUAUUUUCGCGAAGCGGCUGGAGCCGUGCAGAGAUGUAUGGCGUAGAUAGAUGACUGUCUGAGACAGAACUCGGCUUACAGAUUUACUCG